This is a long non-coding RNA of Salmo salar (Atlantic salmon), 1375 nucleotides long. RefSeq lists it as uncharacterized. Lineage: Eukaryota; Metazoa; Chordata; Actinopteri; Salmoniformes; Salmonidae. The record is from RefSeq and is a predicted model, not a curated record.
UCGAAGAAGAAGUGUAACUGCAUUUACACUCCUUUACGAAAUCGAAGCAUUUGUAAAAUAUUUGAUUAUUAUUUGAUGCACUUUGGUACUAGCUAGUUCUAUCAACGGAAGACAAAAAAACACAAUAAGUCGCCCUCUGUCAGCGAUCGGUAUUACACUCGAUGGUAUAGAACGGCUAACGUCUUUUAGCUACCAAUGUUGACCACUGAGCUUGGGUGUCAACAUGAUACAAACACGUGUUUUGGUUAUGGCAGCCUGACAGCCUUUAUGCCAUUUACAGUAAUUUUAUAGAAUGUGCAGUUGACUAAUGUGUUAGUGUUGGGCUUGUCCAAAAACCUCUAAACUCUUAACCCUUCUUGGGUUAAGAAGUUUGUUACUACUGGUUUAUUGUCAUUGUUAUGAAUUAAUAAAGUUGUGUAUUCGUUGUGCUUAGAUAUCAAGGGUGCGGCUUGUGAAGACCAGUGCGUUCUUCAGCGUUCAAAUAGUUUUUUACAGAAUCUGUGUUAUCACCCUGGCAGAGAGACUCACCCUAUUCUUCAGAAUGGCACGACAAUCAAGAGUAUCAACUAUCAAAUAAGCUCUGGCUGCAGUCGCCUGCAGAACAGUGUCUCUGAGAAGUCGAAGAGAUUAUGUGCUACAACAUUUUUAAAUAAUUGUAUAUAAUCUGGGAGGGCAACUUGCACACCACUUACAGAGCUGGCUAUUGGAUGUCAAUGAGGUUAUUCUUGAAAGGCCAAAACCUUUACUGGGAAAGCCUUUCACAGAGGGAUAAAUGCUGUCAUCCUUGAAAUAGAGAGCAAGACGGUGACUAACGGUCUCCUGAGCAGAGAGGAGUACGAGAGCGUCACCUCUAAACGGACCAGCAGCACCCAGCCUGAGCCAUGCUGAGGAAUGAAGAGUUCACAGGGACUCGUCACACUCACCUCAGCUGGAGUGACUUUUCCUGGGGCAGCUUUGUUGGAGGAGUCCCUCGUCUCCUUCAGACCCAGCCAGACCUAGGUACCUGCAUAAAGCAUACCCCUGUCCAGAUAUGGACUUAUGCCCGUGGUGGAUGACAGUGGGGUGAUGGAGGUUCUCUAGCCUCUACCAGGAGUACUUUUGUUUGUUUUGUUGUAACAUGGAAGAAAUUGAGCCAGUGACGUUUUAGGAGAUACCUUUUUUUAGCUCUUGAUGAAAUGUGAGAUUUAAUUUUCUAAAGGAGGAAAUUCGUAAGAUAUUUCCAUUACGUCGGUCAUUGACUCUGUACCAAAAUAACUUAAUACAUUACCCAUUCCACCCUGUUUUAAGAAAAAUAAUGUUUAUUUAAAUCUGUGUUCUAUUUAUAAUCAUUUAACUGUCAAAAGAAUAAUGGUCCAAAACUAAAUCUAUUUCUUCA